GACAAAAGCCAAUAAAUAAUAAAACUUGUUCUAUGUGCUGUUUGAGCAGAAUGAUUGUGCUCAGUUUUAACUAAGCUUUCUUGCCAUGUAUUAAAAUAUCAUGCCAACAUGAUACAAUUCUGUAAUACUGAAGAUCUUUUAGAAUUACAGUUAUCCAUUUGUUCAGGAAAAAUCAUAACAAAAGGAGUAACAUUUUUAUUUCUCAUGCUAGUUCUUUGACGUCAUACACAAAUAAGCAUAAUUAAUCAUGAAUUAUUUCUGUUCAUGAUUAAAACUCAUAUCUUUAUUUAAACAAUAAAAUUAAUUUAAUUAACACUAAAUCCUAACCCCCCAGCAGGAUUUCUUAGGAUUGUAGGAUAAAUGGUCAAGGCAAAAGGGUUUGGUUUGGUUGGUGUAUUAGGGUAAUUUAUCAUAACUAAUGUAGGCUAUUGCACAAACCUUUAAUUGAAACAUGAAUAUUGUGUCCCACUGUAACAUAUUUUUGUGGUUGACAAGAGGUUGCACAAAGCACAAACAAAGAUUUUUUUUCUAAUGAAAGGUUAUUCAAACUCUUAAUAAGCAUAGGCUUUGAGCACUGUCCCAUCCACUUAAAUUGUGUAGGUGGGACAAAAUAUAAAAACCUAAUACUAAAAAAAAACCUGAUAUUACCAUGAUUAUUACUGAUUUUAUUGCAGUAACGAAUCAUAUUCAUGUUUUCAUUUUCGUUUGUAUUGUAUGGCCUUAUGAAAAUUAGCUAAAGCUUUUUUUCCUGACAUAUGGGCCUUACCUUACCUUAGGCUGCUGAGUCAACAUCCUGUUAGACCUGUUAGGCCACGCUCCCCUAGGUGAUGUCACACUAAAGAGGGCAUGCGAUUUUUGUAGUCGAGGACACAGGCUGUUGAAUCUGCACUUUACCUCAACGUGUUUCUCGAUAUUUGACGGUAGUGAUCAAAACAUGUCUGAAGAGCCACGCAACAAAAACCUGAAGCAGACAGACCUUCUGAGUCCUAAAAAGGAGAUUAACACAGACAGUGAAAAUGAGGAGUCUUCACAUGCUGGGAUCACUAAUCAGGAAACGAUGGCUCCCACACCAAAGCUAGAAGAGAACUACUCCAAACACCCACAACAGGAAAUGAUGGCUCAAUCAUCAAAGCCAGAAGAGAAAUACUCCAAACACCCACAACAGAGAGCAGAAGAACAAGAACACACUUUCAAAUUUUGUUUCGACUCUGAUCCUGAUCCAGUUGUUGUGGAAUGUAACACAUCCAUGACUGUGCUGGCUGCUCUUGAACAAAAAGAAAUAUUUCAGAAUAACAAGAGUAUUAGAGACACCAAGAAAGAGAUGGUAAUCAAGCGAGCUAAUGGAGCUGCUGUGAAAACAGAUUUCCCAUGCUGUCUUAUUAAAAAGGAUGAGACCUUAACCAUAUUCUUCAUCAAAACGGAAAAGAAAAAGAAAGAGACACAAGCAAUACCUUCUUUACCUAGAACGGACCUAGUCAAGUUCUACAUUAAAACAACAGGAAAGGAGAAAUUGAUGUACAUAAUAAAAAGCAAUGAACUAAGAAACAAAGUUGAUUAUGUAUGUGUUUGUGGAUUAGAAGAAGAACAAACUGAAACUGCUCUAAAGCGUGAUGGACGAUUCAAUGAAAAAAUAUUCCAGAAACUCUGUGUCCUGUCACUAGUGUCUGAAUGUACUGGUAAACAAUCAAGAUAUGAAAUGUCCAACUCUGUUAAGCGUCUUAGAAACAAGAGAUUUGAGAUCAUUGCUAUUAAUGACAAACGGCCUGACUGCCAAAUGAAACUAAACACAAUCAAGACUGAAAAUGCAUCAGAUGUUGAUUAUGAGAAAUAUGAUCUGAGACAACCUACAACCAGCAGUGAACAAGGAACAAUCCAAGAGAGGGAUACAAAAUCACCAGGUCCUCCAUCUACAGGCCAAGUAACUCAGAACCCUUCUGGGGAUUUUGGAGGAUUGUUCUACACUGAGAUUAAAGAGUUUCUGCAGACUUCAUUUGAAAAUAUAAUGAAGAAGCUAAAACAGCGAAAGAACCCCCAGGUUCAGAAGUUCUUCCAAGAAGAUUACGAUAAAGGCAUUCAGUGUUUCACUGAGGUGAACAAAGUGAAGCAGAUCAUGACACUCUCUGACUCUGUGUGUAUGAUUCUAGUUGAUAAUUGUGCCACUGGAACAGGCUUCCUAGCCUUUGACAGAUUCAUCCUUACUAAUGCUCAUGUCAUUAAGGACUUUGUUAAUUGUGACACUCUUAAACUUUCACGGCCUCUGAAAGCUGUAUUUAAUUUUGAGGUUGUAGGAUCUGCGACAAAAGUUCUGUCAGUUAAAGAUGACAUAAUUGCUUGUGGUUUUGAGCUUGAUGAGAGACGCAGAUUCUAUGAUUUCGCACUUCUUGAAUUGGAAGCUACACCUGAUAACUGUCCCCAAUUGUUCAAACGUUAUAUACAUUCCCCUCCUCCAAACUGUGGUGGGAUCUACAUUGUGGGACACCCAGGUUGUGGAGUCAAGAAGAUGGACCCCUGCUUCAUUAUUGAGCCUGAGAAACAACUCCAGAGUAUAAACAAACACAUAUCUGACAAUAUGUCCUGCCCAUAUGUAUCACUGCAAGUCCUGCCGUAUCUGCAUCAGAAUAGGAUAACCUAUGACACUUGUAUGUUUCAUGGAUCUUCUGGCUCCCCGGUGUUUGAUGAACACUGCUAUCUGAUUGGAAUGCAUACUGGUGGCUUUCAUUAUAAAGAUCAAAAUAACACAGAUAGGAGUGUUAUAGAAUAUGCCUAUUCCAUGCAGUCUAUCGUGAAAGGCAUUGUCGAACAUGUCAGGUCAAGGAGACAUGACAUCUUAAAUUUACUUUCUGAGUUUGAUUCAAUUAAAGCACAGUUUAAACUUGAGAAGACUGAAGAUACAACUGGAGCAAUUCAGCAACAAGAGCAGUAUGAGAAAGAAGAGGAAAUGGAUGUAGACUGAUGGGAUUCUAGAGCCGUGUCUACUGAUUGAAGACCCAAAGUCAAUCAGAAUUUUUUUUUUUUUUUUUAAAUUUCAAUUCAAUUUUCAAAUAUCUAGUGUGGAAAAUAAGUAUUGAACACGUCAGCAUUUUUCACAGAAAACAUAUUUCUAAAUGUGCUGUUGACUUGAAAUUUUCACCAGAUGUUGGUAACAACCAAAGAAAUCCAUAUGUGCAAAGAAAAUGUAACUAAUUGGAUAACAAACAAAGUUCUGUGUAAUAAAAUGAAAUGAUGCAGGGAAAAAGUAUUGAACGCAUGAAGAAAGGGAGGUGUAGAAAGAUAGUGAAAGCCCAGACAGCAGCUGAAAUCUCUCAGUAGUUCUUCAGCAACCCUCUGCCCUUCAUCAGUGUAAAUGAAUAUCAGCUGCUUCAGUCCAACAUCUACAUUAGCAGAAGGAUGAAGAUGAAACCAGGGUGGACAUUCAGCAAGACAAUGAUCCAAAACACAGCCAAGGAAACUCUCAAAUGCUUUCAGAGAAAGAAAAUCAAGUUGUGGAAUGGCCCAGCCAAUCACCUGAUCUGAAUCCAAUAGAAAAUACAAAGUAAAGCUUAGAUUUGAUAGACGGGACCCACAGAACCAUCAAGAUUUUCACUCUGUUGAAGUCAUGAAUGCAUGUGAGUUCAUUCCCCCUAGGAGAGACAUCUUUGUACUGCCAUCACCUAAAAGCCUUAUAUAUAAAGUAUUACAUAAAUUUCAGUAGUUUCCUCCACUGUAUACAUUUUUUCAUGUACUUUUUAAUUUUUAAAAACUUAGGCAAACCCACAUAAAAUACACAUUCAGGAUAUACUUUUAAAGUACAAUAAUAAGCAACUACAAUAAAUACAUUAUCACAUAUGCUAUUCUGAAGAGCAACAGUAAAAUAAAAAACACACAGUAACAGUACAACUGCAAUCAUUCUAAAAUCUGAAGGGCUUCUGCAAAUUGUGUCGAAUGUAAAUAGUUUCUGGAAAUAAAUCAGCAAGAUAAACUGCUUAAAAGAGUCAAGGAGAUCGAGUGAAUAUCAGACCAUAAACUCACUGGUUACAAUUAUGAUAAGGAUGAAAUGGACAUGCAAUUUAAAGCAACAGAAAUUGACUGUAAAAUCGAAGUUCCUAAAGAGUCUUGAAAGAAUCUUUGACAUUGAUACCGCUAUUCUCUCAGAGGAAGUGUGAUAUUGUCAUUUUAUUCCGAGAUUGAAACAUGCCUUUUUGACUUUCUCUUUUCAAAAUGUUUUUAUGUAUGAAUGGCUAGACAUGCUGGGAAAUGUCUUUAUUUUCUUUUUCCUGACCCAUGCCAAGAGAGAAGACAAUUUAUUUGACAGAGACUAGAGUGAUAGCUCAUAUUUUUUGUAUAGUCUUUAUGAUGUAAUUCUUUUUUUUUUAUAUAUAUAUAUUUUUCUUCUUUUUACACUCUUAUUAUGUUUGAUUUGUUAUAGUAAUUUUACAUCAAUUCAUUUAACAUGUUUUACUGCAAUCAUAAAGCACAGAUAAAAACUGAUGAAUGAUAGGACUUUACUGCUGUUAUGAUAUAUCAAUAAAAUGCAUUUUAAAAAGUUUGCAUUCAAUGAGUGUUAUUACAAGUCAACUGUUCUUUCUGCUUUCAUGAUAAAUUAAGAUUUGCAUUAUAGCAAAUACAAAUUGAAAAUGCAGUACUACUGUACAUUAUUUCAUUUAUUUGUGUUUACCUUGUAAAAUUGUAUUAUUAUUCUGAUAUAUUGUUCUAAGAUUCUAAGAUUGGUUCUAAGAUUGGUCUGGUAAAUGUUGUGAAUGUGUUAUACAGAAUAAAUAUAAUCAUCAAAAACAUCCUGUGGAUCAAAUACUGAAUAGCUGUUGUUUGUUUUUGUGUGUAGCCUAUAUUUCGGUAGCCAGAAAACCAGCCAAUAAAGAAAACAUCAGUUUGACAGC
Long non-coding RNA from Danio rerio (zebrafish), 4874 nucleotides. NCBI's taxonomy places the organism in Eukaryota, Metazoa, Chordata, Actinopteri, Cypriniformes, Danionidae. The record is from Ensembl.